AUGUUACAACACUGCACUCAUGUGCUCUCGCUGCCUCACUCGUACAGACAUACACACAGUAUCGCGGCACCAAGAGCGCUCACACACAGAACAGCAGCAGGACGGAAACUGGAAGUGUGGUUGUGCCCUUUUGAGGAGUUUUUGGUCUUCCAAGAGGGCUCUGAUUGCUUUGGAAGGUCACCAACACAAAGAACCCACUCCGGUAACCUGCUGAGUUCCUAAUAAACUGCACUGCUGGCCAGCAGUUAGUUACAAGUGAUAUCCUGGCUUCACAAUUAGUGUAUGAGAAUGUAAGCAUGGCUGGAAACAAGAAGCAUGCCUUGAGAUUACUGCCACCUCCUGUGCAUAAGUCAGGAAGGUCGCUCCAGCACUGAGCAAUGCAAGAGACAACUCUGCAAAUUCAGAGGAUCUCUGACUCCAGUGGUACUGUGUGACUGUUACUUUAAUGGCACUAUAGCUCUCUGGAACAAAACUCACAGCCCUGUAGAAGUCACAAAAGCCUAGUCUUCAGUACAAAGGAUUCUUACAGAAAACUGAUCUUUCUCCCUUGGGAUCACAAGAAUAUAUUUUUUAAAAGAAAAUCUGCCAGUUUUUAGAGAUAACAGAAUGUAACAUGUGGCUGUGUAUUGGGCUCUGUACUGUUUAGUGUGGUAGAGCUUUCAUGAGGAACUCAAAAAUAGUGACCCUGUGCGUUCUUUUCAUAUACACACGCUGAAAUGGUCCCUGCAGACUGAGAUACUUGGCCAUGGAAACAGCAAGGAUACAAAAGGCCUUCAUCACAUAAAUGCCUGAGCCAUCAGGCUUGCUGCUAUAGGGCCAGCAGCUUGGAAGCCCACACAGACUGAGCUCCCAACUCCUAAGCAGAAAGCUGGAAGUACUUAUUUCAAGCACUGCUCACAGACACUUUGCCAGAUAGCUGGGAUCCCAGUUCUGAAAGGCCUGGGACGCACUCCUAGGAUGCACGGCUCCUUCAUGCAGAAAAUCCUAGGCCAAGUGGUGCUGGGCUUGCAGCCAGCAGUUGCUUCAGUCUUUUCCUGUGAAAAAUGCUUCAUUUUGGGAACAUCAAUGGAAAGAAGGAUAAAUUGAAGACUUCUCAUGAAUGGAGUUGUGGUCAGCUCCACAUUCAAACCUGCAUCUCAGUUUCUUUUAAGAUAUUCUGGUCUUUGGAAAUAGUCAGACACCAAAUGCCACCAAGCCGACAUUUUCAAGGCAAGAAACAUCAAUUGCAGAGGGGAAGCCUAGAGGAGGAUGCACAGAGCUUUCCCUCACUGAGAAACUGCAGCCUCAGCCACCUUUUACUCCUACGAAAUCACAAGCUCUCUUAUGUUAGCCCAAGCCCACAAAGCUGCCUGCCAUGCUUCAGCAUGACAGUACCUGAAGACCCAAAGGCACAGUGCUGUCAGGCUGGGAUAUCUCCUCAGCAGUGCAUCUCCAAGCGUCGCAAUCCAGUGGGCCCAGAUGCAGCUGCAUAAAACUACAGUGCAGUGCACUUUGCCAGGCAGCAGAACGCUGCACAGGAUAGGCAGUACUACAAAAUGCCAGACAGGGCCCCAGCCCACCAUGACCAUCACAGCAAGGCUGGCUGUGCAGCCCACUGGGAAGCAGCAUGUGGCCUCCUGACUGAAGGGGUGACUACCUCUUGAUCACAUUUACAGUUGAUCAGAGGCAACUAAUGCUUUGCUGGGCUCCUGGAAAGGGGUAGCAAAGGCAAAAGCAAAGCAGCUGGGAUGGCAGCUGUGCUCACGGCUUCCAUGUGUCACUCCAUUUUUGGUGGGCACAGAAAUUGCAGGCCCCUCUCCAGUGAACACCCCCUUCACUACAUCUUGCUUUUGCUCUAUUCCCCACAUCUCAGCACUGAACUUGGAGGGCAGUAUACUGUCAUGCUUUCUUAAAAACUGCUUUUCUUGAUCCAGCCCACUCACCAUCAGGGCAACAGUCUUUGACCUGCUAGGAAGCCUCAGCAGUGGCCACACAGGUUCUUCAAUCUUCUUUGUCAAAUCAUCCAGAGAAAGCCCUGGCAGCUCUGCCUGCACAAAGGCUGCAGGAGCAAGCUUGCUGUCAGUAAACCUUCAAUUUUUGCUCUUCAUCUGGUUUCUGCCACAACACACAUCCAUAAAGGUUUAGUCCCUGCUGUGGUAUUUUUGUACUUGCAAACUGUAGGAAGAUAACAGAAGAUAAAUGGAGGCAACCUUUCCCCUCCGCCUUUUCUUUUCAUUCUGAAUCUCAGAAAGGUCAGAUCUGGAUUUAAAUUUUCCUGCGCAAUGUUUUGGCUUGGUUUGUAUUUAUUCCAAGUGAAUUCACCCAUUUCUUCUGAGGAAUAAAAGGUCAUGAAACCACUGAGUUCUCUCCCUCCUAAAAAGGGUACUUUCUUCUAGGGAGUGAAUUACCAAUGAAACCAAGAAAAAAAAAUUAAGCAAAAAAUAUAUUUUGUUCCCACUGGGCAGGUGGAACUGUAAUCACAGCUGAGUGUAAUUAGAAAAUCUGUAAGGAUGCCACUACUUUGCAUCAAUUUUUAAGCAACCCGUUUAAUUUGGUUGAUGAACUCAAGCUUUCCACAGGAGCUCUGGAAAAGAGAUGGGACACUCAUGGCUGCAGUGACAGCAGCAUAGUAACCUGGAGGUCACAACUGCAAGGUGUGAAUAAGAAGCUCUCCGAUAAAGAUGCUGGAGAAAACUGGACAUAUGUGUGCUGCAUGUCAACACAUUCUAUGAAGCUGAAUGAAACUACUGCGCUAGGACAUGCUCUGGAAGUGCUUGUUCUCUCCACUGACUGCAAAGAGAAUGUAACGUGAAUCAUUCAGAGGGAACCAACGCAUUGACACCAGCUCUAGGUGCUGUGUUUAUCACUGAAGUGGAGAAGCCACUUUCCAUUAGCAUACACACUGCAAGCAGUUCUGCGUCCAAGAACAAAAGAAAGGUUUGAAAUAAGCUUCAUAGUCUGCAAUGAUCACCACCUUUGGAGAGAAGCUGUCCUGUAAGACCUGGAAAAGUAUUACAUGCCUCAAUUAAAAAUAAUGGAAAUUCUUGCUUUAGGGCUUCAAAUAAGGGUUGUAAUGUCUGUCUGCCUGUCCACAGCUGGUCUUGAAGUGAGAUGCUUACAAACACAAUAAACAACCCUAGAGUGGAUAUCUUCCUGCAGCAUAGAAUUUAUUCUUAUGUGACUUCUAUCCCAAUAUAAUCACCUUCAUAAUUAAAAGACUAUUUUUUUUUUAAUCACUGGCCAAUAUAUACCAAAAAUACUAAAUAAUAAUAAUGAUGAUGAUAAAAACAAUUAGAGAUCUACAUAUACACAGACUCAGCACACACAUGCAUACACAUUCUGAGUUCAGUUUUUCAGCACAUUGUACGUGGCAUAGUCAUUUGUACCAGCUCCACCACACUGCUAAAUAUAACUAGCAGCAAUAUACAGAGUUCAUUCUCAACUCACUUAAACCUGGGUAUAAAACAGUCCAGCUUUAGUUUCCUAGUAUUGCAUACACACUUUGUAAGUCACUUCUACGUUUUAAAAAGCUGUACUUCUUACUAACAUUAAUCUUCUGUGCCUUUGAGAGAACCAAAUAAUCACAGAAUCAUAGAAUGGCCUGCGUUGCACACAACGAUCAUCUAGUUUCCACCCCCUGCUAUGUGCAGGGUCACCAUCCACCAGACCAUGCUGCCCAGAGCCACAUCCAGCCUGGCCUUGAAUGCCUCCAGGGAUGGGGCAUCCACAGCCUCCUUGGGCAACCUGUUCACCAACCUCUGUGUGAAAAACUUCCUCCUACUAUCCAACUUAAACCUCCCCUGUCUCAGUUUAAAACCAUUCCCCCUUGCCCUAUCACUAUCCACCCAUCCUCAAUCCUUGAUCAUCCUAUAUUCUUGCCUUCUGUCUGUUCUAGGGUAUGCUUCCACUUUCUCUUUUACCACUUGUUUUAGUCCAAGUCAGAGGUCUUAGUUUAAAUAACUGUGUACAAAGCCAGGAGUUUUACACUGCAAUGUGUUAAGGAAUGCACACUCAAGCAGCUCAGCACUCAGUUUGCAGAAUGGGAGAAAUUAUCUAAGCUUGAAAGCUUGUAAGGAAGUGGCAUUCUGCAUACAUGGGGGGCAAGGUAGAGAAACUGGCCUUUUCAGCAACACCCAUACAUCUGAAAGAUGACAAAUGAACAUAUUUCAUGUGAGAUAUUUCACAUAAAUGCUUAAAAAAGGUAAGAACACCAUACACUGCUUAUGAACAUCCUACGCCAACAAAAACUGCAGACAUAGACAGGAGUUGUCCAAAUACAUGAAAAAUUUUGUUAAGCAAAGCAACCUGUAUUAGGGCAGAAUUUUCUUGGUUUGGCUGGCUUUGCAGUAGAAGCACCUGCCAAAACCACAGCGGUUAGGACACAGACGUCCUUCAAAGCCACAAACAGCUCAGCUCUGCUGAAAGUGGAUAUCAUCACAACACCUCUCUAAAAUAAUAGGUGUUGCCAUGAAUUUCGGCUUUAUUUCCACCCUGCUUAAAAGACAAAUUGAAAAAAAAAAAGAUUCUUUAUCUCCUUUCUAAUUUAAAGUAUAUGAGAAUUCCCACUGAGAUUGGACAGAAAGUGCAAUAAGAGCUAUUUGGUUCACAGAUUAGAUGCUUACAGGUAUGAAAAUAUUGUUGUGCAUGGAGAUUCUGCUUUGACACUUCAGUGCCAGCAAAUAAGAACAUCUUCCACACUGCCUAUAACCUGUGGUAAUUUGAUUAGCUGGAAUAACAAACCAAAACCAUACCACAAUUUUUUAGGACUGGGGGGGAGAAAGUACUUCAGGGCAAAGAUCCUCAGCCAUUUUGAUUGAUGAUCAAAGCUCAGCCAUUCCUUAAAUGUAUGAAGCAUCAUUUCUUUUUAAACUUGUGAAUUAUAUUUAUUUUGCUCUCAUCCAAUAUCCUGCACAUUUCAACCUAUUUAUAGGCUCAGAGGAAAUGGAAAAUGAGAAUGCAUGAGGAAAGUAAAUAAAUAAAUAGAUAGAUAGAUCAGCCCACAGUGCUAUAGUACGGAAGCUGUAGGACAUUUUAACUAAGUAUUAGUAUUUGUUGCACCAGUGGAGCAAUCAGUGUGUUAUUUGGGUAGUAGAGCCGAUCAGGAAUUCAUACAGCUUUUUAUUAGCAAGCAUUGAUACCAUGCCUUAAAGCAGGCACUUCCCAGAGGUGAGUUUUAGAAUCAGUUUUGUUUUCUAAGGCACAGCAUCACUUACAGACCCCCAGGCCUUGCUACAGGGAAAGCAGGAACAAAAAUCCUUGAGGACAAUCACCGCGGAUGACCCUAAACACUUUUGCAGACACAGCCGUCACUUUGCUGCUUUAGGGCCUGAGAUCUCCCAGCCAGCACGGAAGGAGACAUGAGCCCAGAGGAGUGCAGAUCCCAGAGCACACUCACAGAUGCAGUACAAACAUGGACUAAUGUAGCUGCCCUCUUUAUCUACAUGACUAGCUUAGUCAUGAAUGUGAGUAAAACUAAUUCUUUUCCAGCAACAGGAACUUGUUUGGCCAAGGGAAUGCCGGCUCCUACUUAGGACUGACAGCAGGGGCUGCAGUAAAUCCCUCUUUCAGUUGAGCUGACACAGUUGCCCAGUGAUGCCUCUGCUUAGCCAGCUGCAGUCAGAGGAAUCAGUCACGGACCAAUUUGUGGUAUUACUGUGCACGUCAUUCAACUCAGCUAUGAGUGACUGUCAAAUAACUCCCAACAUUUCAGUAACUGCAGUAUGCAAGGUGCUAGCCAAGAACCAAAAUGCUAGAUGGAAACUGAUUAUAACUAUAGCCAGCCUGGCAUGAUGGAGGUCUGCUGCCUGAAAACCCACAGCAGAGCAUUACGGGCCUUCUCCUGUUCAAAGAUGUUCUGACCACACUGACCAGGAGGAACAUUGGUGGCUGGAAAUGCAAAGGCUGGGUCACUGCUUCAGUUCUGUAAGCUCAGGUAAAUCAAGCAGAAGUGUGGAAAGAAGUAAGAAGGCACCGAUUUAAAAAUACAGUUCAUACUCUCCACUUUUUCUGUGUGGGGGUUCUUUUUGGUGGUGGAUAAGUAGCAUUUCAGUCUAUGAAGCAACUGACAUUUGUGCUCUCGAUAUUCCCCUCCCUGGCUAUUUAAUAAACCAGCAUACAUCUGGUCCCAAGCAUCAAAACCACAUGGUUCAACAUAUGCUAUAGCUGCUACCCAGGCACCCUCAUUUACUGUUUUUUUCAGACUAAUGCGGGAUUUGUAGGUAAAAAAAAAUGAUGCAUGUAUUUCUUUUUGCCAGAGAUAAAAGAUAACUGUACUUCCUCUGCACUUUAUUUAAAGAUUAAUUUUCUGUAGGGAAAAAAUGUCACUUUAAUUAAGCUAGAAUUCAAGCCAUAAAUUCAAAUUAUAACAGAAGGAUGAAUUCUGAUGAAUUCUGGCUACAGAAAUCAACAGGAAAACCCUUGUUGACUUUCCCUGGGGCAACACUGUACCCCAGACAAAUAAUGAUUGUUUUUAAUACUGACUUCUUGUAGCUGAAAUCUUUUUGCUGACCAUCUGUUUCUGUUCCACGUAUCUUUCUGAGUUUUCUGCUGCAGUAGUGACAAUCUGCUUGUGCAUCUCCGAGGACGUAAACUUAGGAAGACAAAAACCCAAAAGGAAUAUCUUCUCCUCAAAACCCUUGGUGUUACCCUUAUAAGAAGUUGGAGGAAAACUCAUAGAAAGCUCUGCACCACAAUGGGUCAAAUUUUAUUCCGUGGAGACAAAGGAAAAUCUAGAAUGCGUACCAAGAACAAGAACAAAAUGUAAGGGGCUAUUAAUAAAAUUAACUUAGUCCAAAAAUAUCAAAAGAUAUCCUAUCUUUCCUUAGAUUGCAACCUUUUCCAUCCUGAAAACUCCUGCUUAAAAUCUCUUUCAUUCUUUGUUUGCCAUCCCUUAAAUCUCAAGCACAAAGACUAGCUGACAGCACAGACCAAAGUGGUGCUUUCAUGGGGUUCUGCCUGUUACAUGUGGGACCAAUUCCACCAGAAAAGAGCCAGACUGCUGAAAUUGAGCUGUGCAGUAAAUCCCCUGAUUUGUUACCCAAUAAUGCAAAUGUUUCAUCAACAUUACUUAAGCAAAAACAUUUCAUAAGCGAAGCUGCAAAUGCAGCUGCACCACUGCCAGUGUUCUCAUGGUGCCAGAAGGCUGUGAGUUGCAUCACAGAGGUAAAACAGCAUCACAUUUGUGAAGGGGUGAUUGCCACAUGACAAAACAGUCCAAAAAAAAACAACCCAAAAGCUGUGCUCCUCCAGAUCAUAAAUGUCAUUGCAGACUGCCAUUUCUAAACCCUUCUGUACUGUUCUGGUUUUGCUUUUAAUGACCACAAUAACAAAAUGCUUAACGUCUGCAGAAAAAGACCGGAAAAUCCUAUUCAUGUGAAUCAUUUCUAUCUAUGUUCACAUUUGAUGUAUUACUGCUUAGGUUUUACCAGUUGUCCAUUUAUAGAACUCCCACCAGAAAAUCUGUGUAUUCUAAUACAAAAAAUAAGGUUCAAGUAGCUCAGGGUAGAGUUCUUCUGGGGAACACCACCAUUUAACUAAACAUUGUUAGCUCCCUUCAGCUUUCUCAGGUGAAAUAGAAAGACCUUUCCCGUGCUUCCAUUAAAGCACUCAAAGUUAUGAAUUUUUGACACAGCCUUUGAAUGGUUUUACUAGGAAAUGAUGCAGUUGAGUAUAAGCAAGAGAAUAUAAUGAAGGAUUUUAAUGGAGCACCUGCUGGGUCUCCUUUGCUGGCUCAGUCACCUAGGGGAAUCUUGUCGAUAGGGACCAUCACCUCAUUUACCCCUUAAUCUGAAAACUGAGCAAAUUAAGGCAAGGUCCAACAUUCCCCUCAAAGAAGAGAGGCACUUUGCUUCAGCUGCAUCUUCUUUUCAGUAAAGCAUCCAUUUUUACCUCCAUUCUCAUUCCUAAACACUGCAGAGAGGUAGAAAAGCAAAAGAAAGACAUUUUCAUUUCCCUCAGCUAUUCAUAAGCCAUUCUGCCCACAGCCCACCUUGCCCUGACACCCCUGCCAGCCCCAUGCUCAGCCACCAGCUGUGGAGGUGCCAGAGCACAUUUACAGCAGCUGCACCUAAAACAUAUGUGAAAAGCAUUCACAGCAAAAAGCAGCUUCCUAUGAGAACAACAGCAGGCCUCUACGGAGGGAUUAAGAGACUGAUGGAUCCCAGACAACUGAGAGUCAUGAGCAGCUAAGAGGAACAAAUCAUUGCCUUCUCAUCCAACUCAUGGCUUCUGGCAACGAGCAAGCUUUGGAAGAAGCAAAAGGAGAGGCAGAGAGAGGCAUCUGACAGCAGAACUGAGCCAAAAGCCAUUUUCAAUACAGCAAUAACAUUGAAUCCGCAUGGAAAAAAGAAACGACAAGGUCAUGACUCGUGAU
Long non-coding RNA from Lagopus muta (rock ptarmigan), 8350 nucleotides. RefSeq lists it as uncharacterized. The record is from RefSeq and is a predicted model, not a curated record. The transcript is spliced from 5 exons. Lineage: Eukaryota; Metazoa; Chordata; Aves; Galliformes; Phasianidae.